GCUAGGGUAGAGACUUCUUGGAACUCUUUUGAGGCUCCUCGGAUUCCGUUGAGGCUAUCUCUUGGGACGGACAGCUAUUGUACUGUUUGGGAGGGGACACUUCCCUUUGUUAAGGGCUUAACUCUUAUCUGCCCCUUUUUUUUGUUGCUUUGUUUUUUUAGCAGCAAUGGAGGAAGCCUGGAAGUGAGACCAAAGAUUGCCUAACAGGUAUCAGAUACUGUACUGAUUUCUUCAAGCUUAUCUUCAGGAUUUAUAAUUGUGACAUCUUCUGCUAAUUCAAUCAUCACUUUGGACAUUCAAUUAGAUGGUUGUGUCCCCUGGAAGUUGUGGACGGUAUCUAUUCAGCUACAAUUAUUUGCUCAACAACAACAACUAUGGGGCCAAAUAAUAUCUUCUGGAACCCUCUCUUUGCCCCGAAUUGAGUAACAUGCAAGGCCUAACUCACCCACUUGCAGGGGUUUCCUGGAAGCCACCUGAAGUGGCAUUUAUUUAUUGGUGGAUUCCAAGAAAAUUUAAGAUUGUCCUGCUUGCAACCCUUGCCAUUGCAUCAAAGCAACCCAGACGCAUAUAAACAGAUAUAUGAGAUACACAUUUAUGAAGCACUAAGUGAUAGAUGCUGAACGAUUAGAAUGCUUCAUGUUGAAGAGGAGUUUAUCCUACCUCUCAUCAUACUUGUUUGUUUACAAGGUAAAUCUAAUCAUUUUCUGAAGGGCGUAGAAGAAAAAGGAACGCAUGUAGCUAUAUAAACUGGGUUUUAAUCUGGAGGUUGGAAAGGAGGGAGAAAGGUAAGGGCUAUGCACCAUCCAGUUGCCUUGCACUAUCAGUAAGAGACUCGUAGGCUUAUAUGAUGGAUACUGGAUACAUAAGCGCAACUUUCACAUACUUUCGCACACAGAAAUGACAUGCAAGCAAGCAACAUCGAUCUACGAUAUCUCAUGAUAAUCUAAAAGCUCAGACCAGAACCUCUAAACUUGCUCUCCGUAAUCUCCUCCAAUCGCCGAGCCAUCUCCGGUGUAAGAUGAUUCNNN
This 1028-nucleotide long non-coding RNA is filed under the name Phoenix dactylifera (date palm). Its description in RNAcentral is "long non-coding RNA (PDAC_LNC000145)". The record is from RNAcentral. Lineage: Eukaryota; Viridiplantae; Streptophyta; Magnoliopsida; Arecales; Arecaceae.